Molecule: ribosomal RNA, 263 nt
Filed under: uncultured Sphingomonadales bacterium
Lineage: Bacteria; Pseudomonadati; Pseudomonadota; Alphaproteobacteria; Sphingomonadales
Description: partial 16S ribosomal RNA
Rfam family: Bacterial small subunit ribosomal RNA
Source: RNAcentral
UACGGAGGGAGCUAGCGUUGUUCGGAAUUACUGGGCGUAAAGCGCACGUAGGCGGCUUUGUAAGUUAGAGGUGAUAGCCUGGAGCUCAACUCCAGAAUUGCCUUUAAGACUGCAUCGCUUGAAUCCAGGAGAGGUGAGUGGAAUUCCGAGCGUAGAGGUGAAAUUCGUAGAUAUUCGGAAGAACACCAGUGGCGAAGGCGUCUCACUGGACUGGUAUUGACGCUGAGGUGCGAAAGCGUGGGGAGCAAACAGGAUUAGAUACC